AAGUCAUAACAAGGUCGAUCCUUUCGCUGUUUACACACACGAAGGCCUUGAAAAGUACUAAGGAUGCUAGUUGACCACAAUUGUCAGCGACACUAUCGAAUUGCGGGGACCGCUUGAAGCCCUCUUGACUCAGCUUUUGUAGCGAUAUCAAAGUGAUAGUGACACAAAGAGGGAUUAGCCAAUCCGCAGCCAAGGUUGAUCGCCUUUUUCCUUUACAAGGAAAGGUCCAACAAGGUUCACAGACUAAGUGGUAGUGGGCUCGUGCAAUGAGCAAGAGCUUAAGAUAUAGUCGGAUCCUUUUGUGAAAGCAAAAGGGAACGUUAAUAAAUCGUAACAAAUGUUUCGUAGGUGAACCUGCGGAAGGAUUAUUAGUGAAUUUAUGGGAGUCCCUCUUAACCGGAGAAGGCCCAAACACUAUAUUCAAACACUGUGCAUUCGUCCCUUUUUAACACUUGUGCAUUACCAAAAGUUGAUGUGAAAGAAAGUUGAUAACAAAAUAAAAA
This 503-nucleotide unclassified non-coding RNA is filed under the name plant metagenome. RNAcentral describes it as "partial contains small subunit ribosomal RNA and internal transcribed spacer 1". The stretch from base 21 to 314 matches the Rfam family "Group I catalytic intron". From Rfam's summary of the family: Group I catalytic introns are large self-splicing ribozymes. They catalyse their own excision from mRNA, tRNA and rRNA precursors in a wide range of organisms. The record is from RNAcentral.